AUUAGUUUUUUAAUUGAAGGCUAGAAUGAAUGGUUGGACAAGAAAUAAUCUGUCUUAAUUAAAUAAAUUGAAUUUAACUUUUAAGUGAAAAGGCUUAAAUAAUCUAAAGGGACGAUAAGACCCUAUAAAACUUUAUAUUUAAUAAUAGUAAUUAAUUUUAUUUUAAGAGUAUUAUUUGAAAAUAUUUGGUUGGGGUGACAAGGAUAAAAUAUAAAAUAACUGUCUUUUUUUAUUACAAUAAUAUUUGGUUUAAUGAUCCUAAAAUGGAUUAAAGAUUAAGUUACUUUAGGGAUAACAGCGUAAUUUUCUUUAAGAGUUCGUAUCGACAAGAAAGUUUGCGACCUCGAUGUUGAAUUAAAAGUUCUUUA
RNAcentral lists this ribosomal RNA (368 nucleotides) under Faxonella clypeata. RNAcentral describes it as "partial 16S ribosomal RNA". The record is from RNAcentral. Lineage: Eukaryota; Metazoa; Arthropoda; Malacostraca; Decapoda; Cambaridae.